CAAUGUUUUGGCCCUACUGGUGAAAAUAUGUAGACCUAACAUCUAUCUCCCUGCUCCAGUUUCAAGAGAAAAGACCUUAUUCAGAGAAAUAUUUAGAAGACUCUUGUGGAAUUCUUGCUGUGAGUGGUUUUUCCUUCCCUGCCAUUGGUGCGACUGUUUCCCCCUUCCGUCAAAUUGCUGUCUAGAUGUUUCUCUCUGACCCCAAUUUUCUCGGAGUUUGGGAUUAUCAAUCUAAAAUCAGAGGAAGAAGCUUAAAUGACUCUUCUUGCUCACAUACUUCCUGGGCAAACAUGUCUGCUCUGUUGGGAUAAAGGACGCUCUAGACCAGGCUCUGCUGAAAGAUCCAGGGCAAAGGUUCCUGACAAGACUAUGUCCAGCCUCAAAUAAGGCCACAGAAGAGCCCAGGCUCGCUGACGAGCACCGGCUCCGAGGCAGUCACAUCAGGAGACAGAAACAGACAUGUUGGUGCUGCCCUCUCAGGUCAGUGCAAAUGCCACUUGAGGAGGGCUGAGAGCUUUGCAGCAUAAAAUGACCAGAACAAGGAGAAACACAGAUGCAAUGGCAAUAGCUGGCAAUUCGCACAUGGCGUCAAACACCACUGCCACAGAAGCUUUUUAGCUACAAGCCACGCUAUGCAACCUUUAAGCAAAACAUUAUUGAUUUUGUGGUUGUAAAAACAUACCUUCAACUGCAGAACUCAGUUUUAUGACACCUUGAAUAAAAACAAAAAGUGGCAGUUAUAUAAUGGACCCAAAUCGCCUUUUCCAGGCUUCUCAUAACACACGCAUGCUUCAGAUUUGGAUUUUUCUUUUUCUGCUGGCAUUGCAAGAACGUAACUAAACAAAUAUCAACUUCAAAAAUAAAAUAAUUUUUAGUCUUAA
Molecule: long non-coding RNA, 881 nt
Organism: Homo sapiens (human)
Lineage: Eukaryota; Metazoa; Chordata; Mammalia; Primates; Hominidae
Source: Ensembl